This 1863-nucleotide long non-coding RNA is filed under the name Triticum aestivum (bread wheat). Its description in RNAcentral is "long non-coding RNA (TAES_LNC007837)". Lineage: Eukaryota; Viridiplantae; Streptophyta; Magnoliopsida; Poales; Poaceae. The record is from RNAcentral.
UCUUUAUUAUAUUUUCGUUUAGCAUGUAGUCUAGUGUAGGUUGAUGGUUGUCCCGUGAAGCUUCAUCUCAGCAUGCGGAGGAGGCGUGAUGCCGGGCUGCCGGGCGAUAGGCGAGCAUGGCGAGAUGCCGAUGGCAGCGUGAGGCAGCAUGUCCGUGUGAUGCGGCAAGCACAGAGAGGCUGGAGUGUGACGGGCUGCACGAAGAGGUUGAACCGGGCGAUCCGGUAAGUCAUUAUCAAUUGCAUACAUUGCUAGUUUGGUUGGGUCUGUGGCCGUUGACGAGGCUGCCCAAGUACUGGCCGUGCAUGUAGUUCUGCAUGUUGAGGCGGUCAGAUGCAUAGUUGUUAGGAUCCUGGAGCGAUUCCUGGAGUAGGAUAAGGCCAGUUAGUGAGUGUGGUCGUGCAUGCAUGGAUUAGUUUGUUAGUGGCCGAGCGUGGCGGCCUGUUAGUUCGUGCGUGACUUAGUGGCCCGGCCAGGUUGUGCGUGAGGGCCAACAGUCUAUGUAUAUAUAUGUCACGCCGAGCAAUGAGAAAAGUGAGGCCGAGAGGGCUGGGAAAAACACAAUGUAGUCUCUUGUUCCACCAAGGAGAAGGGCCUCUCGUGCAAAGUAACAGCUGGUCUUCUUCUUGGUUGUGUGUGUGUUGAGUUCCCCACCAUGUGUGUGUGUGUUCUUGUGUUCUUGAGAGAAGAAGAGAGAAACCUCAGGAGAGUUGUGCGAGGCAGCUCGAGGUAGAAGAAGAAGGUCGGCGCUGCGAGAGGAGCGGCGCCAACAAUUGGCAUCAGAGCCUUGUCGAUCCGCGACGGUGACAGGGGCGUGACGGACUCCAUGUGAGGUGGAGGAAGGCGGUGCGGCGGACUCCAUGCGAGAUGGAGGCCGGCGGCACAAGGAGGAGGCUGGUGGCGGCGCGAGGCCGCUGGUGGCUUUGACGGCGCGAGGCCGUUAUGAGGAGAAGACGGUGUGGCGAUCGGCGCCGCGAAGGCGUCGUCCACGUCAAGAGAUGGUCGUUGCAUGCGGUAGGAGGUCGUGUUACACGAUGCUGCGAUGGCGUCGUCCACGGCAAGACGGCAUGGUGAUUGGCAUCGCGAGGACGUCAUCGACGACAAGAUGGUCCAUGGUGACCGGCGCUGCAACGGUGCCGGUGGCGGCGAGGGCCCGGUUGCGGCGUUGCGAUGACGUCGUCAAAUGGCGGUGGGUGAUCCGCGUCGAAGAUUGUGAUGGACAGAGAAUCAAGAUUAGAGGGGAAAAUAUCAGGAUUAAUCUUGAUUGUGUAUCUUUAUUAUAUUUUCGUUUAGCAUGUAGUCUAGUGUAGGUUGAUGGUUGUCCCGUGAAGCUUCAUCUCAGCAUGCGGAGGAGGCGUGAUGCCGGGCUGCCGGGCGAUAGGCGAGCAUGGCGAGAUGCCGAUGGCAGCGUGAGGCAGCAUGUCCGUGUGAUGCAGCAAGCACAGAGAGGCUGGAGUGUGACGGGCUGCACGAAGAGGUUGAACCGGGCGAUCCGGUAAGUCAUUAUCAGUUGCAUACAUUGCUAGUUUGGUUGGGUCUGUGGCCAUUGACGAGGCUGCCCAAGUACUGGCCGUGCAUGUAGUUCUGCAUGUUGAGGCGGUCAGAUGCAUAGUUGUUAGGAUCCUGGAGCGAUUCCUGGAGUAGGAUAAGGCCAGUUAGUGAGUGUGGUCGUGCAUGCAUGGAUUAGUUUGUUAGUGGCCGAGCGUGGCGGCCUGUUAGUUCGUGCCUGACUUAGUGGCCCGGCCAGGUUGUGCGUGAGGGCCAACAGUCUAUGUAUAUAUAUGUCACGCCGAGCAAUGAGAAAAGUGAGGCCGAGAGGGCUGGGAAAAACACAAUGUAGUCUCUUGUUCCACCAAGGAGAAG